This 203-nucleotide ribosomal RNA is filed under the name uncultured bacterium. RNAcentral describes it as "partial 16S ribosomal RNA". It matches the Rfam family "Bacterial small subunit ribosomal RNA", at positions 524 to 726 of the family's 1533-position model. The record is from RNAcentral.
UACGUAGGGUGCGAGCGUUGUCCGGAAUUAUUGGGCGUAAAGAGCUUGUAGGCGGUUUGUCGCGUCUGCUGUGAAAUCUCAAGGCUCAACCUUGAGCUUGCAGUGGGUACGGGCAGACUAGAGUGUGGUAGGGGAGACUGGAAUUCCUGGUGUAGCGGUGAAAUGCGCAGAUAUCAGGGGGAACACCGAUGGCGAAGGCAGGC